GUGAGGAAGCGAAAUUGUUCUUCACGUCAGGGCCACGAUGGUUUAUAGGUCUCAGUAAACCAUGGUGGCUCGGACGAGAAGAGCACAUUCGUUUUCGUUUGC
Molecule: microRNA precursor, 102 nt
Filed under: Picea abies (Norway spruce)
Lineage: Eukaryota; Viridiplantae; Streptophyta; Pinopsida; Pinales; Pinaceae
Description: miR950f stem-loop (pab-MIR950f, pab-MIR950g)
Gene: pab-MIR950f
Source: miRBase by way of RNAcentral